GUGGAACAAACCGUUUUCGCAAGAUGCGUUUCAUUUCAACCCAAGUAGUAACAUGUUGCUCUCUAUAAGGAAUCCUGAUUUUACAUAAUUGAUUCCACCAUGUUAGUGCAUAAUCAAUGAACUCAGCGACAGCGUAUGUUACCUUUUUCUCAUCAGAGUAAUUGUAACAAGCAAAGACUGCUUCCAUCUUUUCCUCCCAAUCAAGGUAAGCAUCAGGAUCAUUCUUCCCUAAGAAAGAAGGAAAUUUUGGUUUGGGGGUGUCAUUGUUUCGUUCCAACCUUUCUCUAGGUACAUACUCGGACUCAAAGUCAUCAUAAAAAACAUGGUCCUCCCUUC
Molecule: long non-coding RNA, 336 nt
Filed under: Gossypium barbadense (sea-island cotton)
Lineage: Eukaryota; Viridiplantae; Streptophyta; Magnoliopsida; Malvales; Malvaceae
Description: long non-coding RNA (GBAR_LNC015758)
Source: RNAcentral